ACCCUUCCAGGACGCGGCCUCCUCGCUUCUUAAAAUGUCUGAGCUCUACGAAGUGGAACUGUUAGCCCUCCGUUUAUUGCCUUACUUCACACUGAAAUAAGCCAACGUUUAUUUUAUUUUAUUUAUUUUAUUAUUUAUUUUAUUAUUUUUUUUCGAGACGGAGUCUCGCUCUGUCCCAGGCUGGAGUGCCGUGGCGGGAUCUCGACUCACUGCAACCUCCGCCUCCGUGUUCAAGCUAUUCUACCUCAGCCUCCCGAGUAGCUGGGAUUACAGGUGCCCGCCACCACGCCCGGCUAAUUUUUGUAUUUUUAGUAGAGAUGGGGUUUCACCAUGUUGGCCAGGCUGAUCUCGAACUGCUGACCUUGUGAUCCUCCCGCCUCAGCCUCCCAAAGUGUUGGGAUUACAGGCGUGAGCCACCGCGCCCGGCCCCCAACGUUUCUUUUUAAGCCUGUCAUAUCUCACAUUAAAUGUGUAAGUCUCUGAACUGUAGGGCUUUGAACAAAGGAAAGUUCCAUGAGAAUACUAUAUGAUGCCAAUUUCUACUGUUAGGAACGCGAUAACAGGAGCUGGAGGCUGCCCCAUCCACUCCAAGCCAGAGAACAAGCAGAGGCUGCCACAGGAGAUCCUGGGCAAGUAAUCAGCCACAGCAUCUAGAUUAGCAUGAAGGAAACACUGGCCAAAUUAAAAGAUGAAACUUCCAAAAGGCUGGGAGGGACUGUGGCCAGCGCUGACACGGAAGUGGCCCGUCAAACAAAUGCUGCUGAGAGUACGAGAGCCAAGACCCAGGCAGAAGCCAGAGGAGGCAUCUGAAGUGAAGGGAGAAGACACUGCAGAUGGGGAAUCUGAGGAGUCCCCCACCCUCGAGAUCCCUACCUCUGGAUGCGGAUGCUCUGAUCUUGGUGGCCCUGAGUGGCUAUCAUGACAUCAGCCUCAUCCAGAACAAACACCUUGAUUUUCUUGGGAUCAAUGAACUUGAGCUUGGAGCACCAGUCCAGCACA
RNAcentral lists this long non-coding RNA (999 nucleotides) under Homo sapiens (human). RNAcentral's name for it is "non-protein coding lnc-AARS-1:6". Lineage: Eukaryota; Metazoa; Chordata; Mammalia; Primates; Hominidae. The record is from RNAcentral.